UGAUCGUUUAACCUACUUGUAGAAAAGCUACCUGGAAAGGAACUUACUUGGCAUUGUUUAUCUAAUAUCACUUCAGGCAUCAUUGGGUUUUGCAUAGACAUUUCGAAUGUCUAUGCAAACCAAAGGCUCCAAUAAUCACAAGCUGGCAUCAGUGAAAUCGCGGGUUUCUCGGAAUCAUCUGCAACUUGCGUCCGCUACUGGUGGAGAGGCGCUGAUCGUGAUAUAUAAAAGGGGGGUAAAGGAUCCUUCAGCCUGCAGUUGAAUCGUCUGAGCUCAGUCGGAAGGAACACACCACAACAAUGGCAAACAAGACAUUUCUGUUAGUCCUUGCUCUCGCUUUGUGCGUAGCCACUAUGGCCGAGAAGCGAGCAGACCGUCCCCUCAUCGGUAGCUCCGAAUUCUCCAUUCACCCCAAGUACAGGACCUCGGCCGGUAGGCCCGGUGCCGACCUCCCCCCCAUUGGGAGCGACCCUGCGUCCCUUCCUCCUAAGAAAAACGAUGAUUAUAUCGUCGUAGGACCCGGAGGUAUCCACAACCCCGACGCCUACAGGGAGGAGUAAUGGCAACGCCUUGCAGUAGACGUUUUAUUCAAAAUUCUAAACGAGAUUAGGAGAUAUUCAAGAGAUUGACAUCGCAUUUAGAUCAUGGAAAGCGCAUUUUGGGUUAACUGACAUGGAGAGAUUAUGAAAUAUCUUAUAUCAGUUAAAUGGUAAUUAUUAGAAGCUUGACAAUCUAUUCUGUGAUUAAUAACAAUUAUUAUUACAUUGCUCUAGAUGUCUUGGAAUCGAGAUAUAAUCGAAUCUCUUUCCUACUAAGAUUAAUUACUAUGGUUGCAUUAAACCAAUCUAACGUAAGAAAACAUAAUGUAGCAUGGACUCUUAUUUCUUUAGUCAUAGGAGAUUGAAAUCGUUUGAAAGUAUUGAUUCAAAUGAAAUUUGCUGCGCUUGCAUUCAGUCGUGAAGUUUAAAUCUUGAUGAAGUAGAUCGUCACAUGUGAGAUGUUUUGUAUCAUUAGAGGAGAAUUUUAAUAAAUUUGAUUUUUAGAAUAA
This is a long non-coding RNA of Macrobrachium nipponense, 1048 nucleotides long. RefSeq lists it as uncharacterized. The transcript has 2 exons. Lineage: Eukaryota; Metazoa; Arthropoda; Malacostraca; Decapoda; Palaemonidae. The record is from RefSeq and is a predicted model, not a curated record.